AAUCAACGCUGGCGGCGUGCCUCAGACAUGCAAGUCGAACGAUUAAAGCUCUCUUCGGAGAGUGCAUAGAGUGGCGCACGGGUGAGUAACACGUAAGUAAUCUACCUUCGAGUGGGGAAUAACAUCGGGAAACCGAUGCUAAUACCGCAUAAUGCAGCGGCAUCGCAAGAUGACAGUUGUUAAAGAUUUAUCGCUUGAAGAGGGAGUCUUGGCGG
RNAcentral lists this ribosomal RNA (215 nucleotides) under uncultured bacterium. Its description in RNAcentral is "partial 16S ribosomal RNA". It matches the Rfam family "Bacterial small subunit ribosomal RNA", at positions 32 to 239 of the family's 1533-position model. The record is from RNAcentral.